GACGAACUGUCCUAACGUUGUUCGGAAUCACUGGGCUUAAAGGGCGCGUAGGCGGUCGAUCAAGUCAGGGGUGAAAUCCUGCAGCUUAACUGUAGAAGUGCCUCUGAUACUGAUCGUCUGGAGGGAGAUAGGGGUGUGCGGAACUUCCAGUGGAGCGGUGAAAUGCGUAGAUAUCGAGAGGAACACCUGCGGCGAAGGCGGGUAGCUGGGCCGACACUGACGCUGAGGCGCGAAAGCCAGGGGAGCGAACGGG
RNAcentral lists this ribosomal RNA (253 nucleotides) under uncultured bacterium. Its description in RNAcentral is "partial 16S ribosomal RNA". It matches the Rfam family "Bacterial small subunit ribosomal RNA", at positions 524 to 776 of the family's 1533-position model. The record is from RNAcentral.